RNAcentral lists this non-coding RNA (146 nucleotides) under Stutzerimonas balearica. RNAcentral's name for it is "Pseudomonas balearica FMN sequence". It matches the Rfam family "FMN riboswitch aptamer (RFN element)". Rfam says of the family: The RFN element is a highly conserved domain that is found frequently in the 5'-untranslated regions of prokaryotic mRNAs that encode for flavin mononucleotide (FMN) biosynthesis and transport proteins. This element is a metabolite-dependent riboswitch that directly binds FMN in the absence of proteins. Lineage: Bacteria; Pseudomonadati; Pseudomonadota; Gammaproteobacteria; Pseudomonadales; Pseudomonadaceae. The record is from RNAcentral.
CGACGUUCUCAGGGCGGGGCGAAAUUCCCCACCGGCGGUGAUGGCGCAAGCCCAGCCCGCGAGCGCUCGCCGCCUGAUCGGCGAGGUCAGCAGAUCCGGUGCGAUUCCGGAGCCGACGGUCAUAGUCCGGAUGAGAGAGAGCGGGA